AACGCAUAUUGCACUCUCUGGUAAUCCGGAGAGUAUGCCUGUUUGAGGGUCAGUAAAUAAUAAUUAUCAUGAAUCUUUGAUUUAUGGAAUUGGGCUUUUAUUUCGAUAGAUUUAUGGCCUUAAAUUUACGUUAUGGGCUUGUCAUAUAAAAUCCGAUCUAAAGGAGCAAUUAAACAUUCUCAUUAGCGCGGAUUUUUACAAGCUGUUAUGAUCUUUGGUUGCUUUCAGCAUUUUUACGAGUGUGAAACCAAGAUUGUAAGUUUACUCUAACAAUGACCUCAAAUCAGGCAAGAAUACCCGCUGAACUUAA
This 310-nucleotide unclassified non-coding RNA is filed under the name uncultured Entrophospora. Its description in RNAcentral is "uncultured Claroideoglomus sequence contains ITS2". The stretch from base 1 to 52 matches the Rfam family "5.8S ribosomal RNA", at positions 103 to 154 of the family's 154-position model. The record is from RNAcentral. Lineage: Eukaryota; Fungi; Glomeromycota; Glomeromycetes; Entrophosporales; Entrophosporaceae.